This 490-nucleotide ribosomal RNA is filed under the name uncultured bacterium. Its description in RNAcentral is "bacterial SSU rRNA". It matches the Rfam family "Bacterial small subunit ribosomal RNA", at positions 29 to 507 of the family's 1533-position model. The record is from RNAcentral.
UAUGAACGCUAGCUACAGGCUUAACACAUGCAAGUCGAGGGGCAGCAUGAAGUUUGCUUGCAAACUUUGAUGGCGACCGGCGGAUGGGUGAGUAACGCGUACCCAACCUGCCCCCUUCCCGGGCACAGCCCUUGGAAACGAGGAUUAACGCCCGAUGGCGUCUGGAUGCCGCAUGGCAUUCCGACCAAAUGCGAAGGAAGGGGAUGGGGGUGCGUCCCAUUAGCUAGUUGGCGGGGUAACGGCCCACCAAGGCAUCGAUGGGUAGGGGUUCUGAGAGGAAGGUCCCCCACACUGGAACUGAGACACGGUCCAGACUCCUACGGGAGGCAGCAGUGAGGAAUAUUGGUCAAUGGUCUGACGACUGAACCAGCCAUGCCGCGUGAAGGAGACGGGCCCUAUGGGGUCUUAAACUUCUUUUGUAAGGGAGCAAUAAAGUCCUACGUGUAGGAUGAUGAGAGUACCUUACGAAUAAGCAUCGGCUAACUCCGUG